This 301-nucleotide ribosomal RNA is filed under the name uncultured bacterium. Its description in RNAcentral is "partial 16S ribosomal RNA". It matches the Rfam family "Bacterial small subunit ribosomal RNA", at positions 509 to 807 of the family's 1533-position model. The record is from RNAcentral.
CAGCCGCCACGGGAAUACGAAGGGGGCUAGCGUUGCUCGGAAUUACUGGGCGUAAAGGGAGCGUAGGCGGAUGAAUUAGUCAGGGGUGAAAUCCCGGGGCUCAACCUCGGAACUGCCUUUGAUACUGUUCAUCUUGAGUAUGGGAGAGAGGUGUGGAACUCCGAGUGUAGAGGUGAAAUUCGUAGAUAUUCGGAAGAACACCAGUGGCGAAGGCGGAUCUCUGGGCCAUUACUGACGCUGAGGAGCGAAAGCGUGGGGAGCGAACAGGAUUAGAUACCCCCGUAGUCCCUGUCUCUUAUAC